GAGCAAACCCGUCUAAAUUAGUAAUGAUGUGACAUUUGCAUUGAAAGUUGUCAAAAUUAAUAGAUGAUUCUCCGUGCCUACCAAAAUUUCUAUUUUGGAAAAGGCCUUGAACAAGUCGCUACAUC
This is a small nucleolar RNA of Papaver somniferum (opium poppy), 125 nucleotides long. NCBI's taxonomy places the organism in Eukaryota, Viridiplantae, Streptophyta, Magnoliopsida, Ranunculales, Papaveraceae. The record is from RefSeq and is a predicted model, not a curated record.